This 451-nucleotide ribosomal RNA is filed under the name uncultured bacterium. RNAcentral describes it as "partial 16S ribosomal RNA". It matches the Rfam family "Bacterial small subunit ribosomal RNA", at positions 29 to 523 of the family's 1533-position model. The record is from RNAcentral.
AACGAACGCUGGCGGCAGGCCUAACACAUGCAAGUCGAGCGCCCGGAUUUAUCCAGGAGCGGCGCACGGGUGAGUAACGCGUGGGAACAUGCCCUGAAGUACGGAACAACCUGGGGAAACCUUGGCUAAUACCGUAUACGCCCUGAGGGGGCAAGAUUUAUCGCUUUGGGAUUGGCCCGCGUUGGAUUAGCUGGUUGGUGUGGUAACGGCGCACCAAGGCGACGAUCCAUAACUGGUCUGAGAGGAUGACCAGUCACACUGGGACUGAGACACGGCCCAGACUCCUACGGGAGGCAGCAGUGGGGAAUAUUGGACAAUGGGCGAAAGCCUGAUCCAGCCAUGCCGCGUGAGUGAAGAAGGCCUUCGGGUUGUAAAGCUCUUUCAGCGGGGACGAUGAUGACGGUACCCGCAGAAGAAGCCCCGGCUAACUUCGUGCCAGCCGCCGCCGUAA